CCAGGCCUCUAGUAUUUUAUAUAAUUUUUAAUUAAUGGAAUCCUCUUUUUUCAGUGUUGGAAUAUUAGGGAGGCCAUUAACUGAUAGGUACUUCAGUUGUCUCAUUUGUGAGGAUUUGAUAAAUUGGGAGAUAUUUAUAACUCUGGAAUUAUUUAAUUCUAGGUUUUACUUAUAUUCAAGUUUUCUUUGAUAUGGACUAUUACCAUCUGCUGGCAGUAGUGAAAAUUGCAAUUAAUUAUUUUAAGCUGAAGUACAUCUUUUCAAUUGUGAGCUCAGAAGAUAAAAUAACAGUCCACUUUUUAAACCGUGACGGUGAAAUACUAACAACCAAAGGAAAAAUUGGUGACUCUCUGCUAGAUGUUGUGAUUGAAAAUAAUCUAGAUAUUGAUGGUUUUGGUGAGUAUGGAAGAGUCCUUAAAGUUUAUAAGUGAAACUAUUGAAUAGUUUUCAAUACUGUUCUUUUGAAAAAUUUUAACUUAUACCAUACAGAGUAAAAUAUUAAAAUUCA
Myotis lucifugus (little brown bat) is the source of this 508-nucleotide long non-coding RNA. RefSeq lists it as uncharacterized. The record is from RefSeq and is a predicted model, not a curated record. NCBI's taxonomy places the organism in Eukaryota, Metazoa, Chordata, Mammalia, Chiroptera, Vespertilionidae. The transcript is spliced from 2 exons.